AACCUCAAAAAAAGAUGUGAGAAAGAGGGUUGGGAAAGCUGACAGAUCUGCUAUGGCAGAGCUUCUAAAGAAGAAAAAGACUGAAGACCAGCGGAACCAUGAAGCACACACAACAAGUAAGUUUCCCUGCACUUCCAUGGGCCAAGUACGUGCACGCAUGGGCCAGAAGCUGAAAGAUGUCCGUUCAUCUCGAAGACGUGCAGAAAA
This is a long non-coding RNA of Lytechinus variegatus (green sea urchin), 207 nucleotides long. RefSeq lists it as uncharacterized. The record is from RefSeq and is a predicted model, not a curated record. The transcript is spliced from 3 exons. NCBI's taxonomy places the organism in Eukaryota, Metazoa, Echinodermata, Echinoidea, Temnopleuroida, Toxopneustidae.